Molecule: long non-coding RNA, 2333 nt
Organism: Acanthopagrus latus (yellowfin seabream)
Lineage: Eukaryota; Metazoa; Chordata; Actinopteri; Spariformes; Sparidae
Exons: 2
Source: RefSeq, a predicted model, not a curated record
UGUGGCAAUAAAGUGUGUUAAAGGUAUGUUUCUGUUACUAUCAUGGAAACUGGAUGCAUGUAGCUGACAGGAUAUGAAGUCCCAACUCUUCUCAUCCAGCCACCCUGACAUCUUCUUUUCAACUUUUCACUGCACUAUCAGCCUGUUUUCUAGAGCUGUGAUGUAUGAACAUCCCCAGUUGUCCUUGAUUGACUGACAGAGGAAGAACAACCCCUUCAUGGUAUGAAAGUAAGGGCAACAUGAAUGUAUAAUGCAUUUUUUCACUCUGUUGUUGCCUUGGGUAUUCAAAUUGUGUUUGCAGGGGAAGAGGAAACCAAAUCAGGGCUGUGCAUAAACUCCCUUUGAUUGACUGUUGAUGAAUUCUUCAGAGAUCACUGGAGGUAAACUACUGUAUAAUGGAAAAGGUUUGAUAUUGACAGCUAUCCAGUAAAAUUCAUUCCUGAAUCCGGAAUUCCCUCCAGGUGGAUAAACAAGGAUUUCCACUUAGUGCGGUGCAAAUUGAAUAUAUAAAAAUCAUAACAACAUUAGCUUUCUUUUGUAGGAAUAUACUCGCUAUACUGUGUCUGUUCAGGCGCCUAUUUCUUUCCAAAUGUGGCUUGAUCUGCGCUUUACAAUGAAAUAUUCAUUGCUCUGUGGUAUUUCCACAUCUGAUUUACCCUGCAUUUUCACUGAAAUCUGAAUCUUAAUACCUGUGUCGGGAAUUUAUUGGUUUUACAUUUAAAGCACACUGUGGGGCUUAUUCCCUUGAGUGGAAUUCUAUUUUGUGAUUUAUGAAGAUAAGGGAUGAACACAAAGGAACUAAUUUCCAGCAUCUGGAACUCUUGGGAGUGACAUUUCAUUUGGGACUGAAACAGACUAAAAGCGUGCAUCCGUUGUGACUGCUCUGGUUGAAUGAUGAUGGCAGGGGAAGUGUCUGAAAAAUACAGAAGAAUAACAGUUGCUUUUUUUCAUUUAUUGUUAGAACAGAUUUGCCCAGAAAUCUCACAACACUGUCAGAAAAUACUGUAAAGUCGCUCUCCACACCUGCGCAGAGGGACAGACCAGAGUGUGACCAUGAAAAACAGCACUUUGAUAUGUUUGUUUCACGGCUAAGCAGAAGACCAUUUUAUUGUUGGCUUAGCAUAAUGUCGGCUUGAACUGAAUGAAUGAAUUGAAGGACUCACUGACAGUUUAAUUGUUCUCUGUUAAAACCAUCGGUACACACCAGUCUCAGAAACAAAGACAGAACACGACUGCCCAUUUUCACUCCAGAUGCGUCAAACACAGCUGCGUGGUCAGUUUCUCUUUAAGUUCGACGGCAUGGUUACCCCUGUUGUGAUCCACAGGUGAUAUAAUUGUCUGUGGGAUUUUAACUGAACUCUGAAGUGAACUCCGUCCCCCACAAUCCUCCAGGUUUCCCACCUAGGUGUGAACCGUGCCCAGACACCCAGCUGUGAGCUAUUAUAGGUAAGGAUGUCUGACACCCCUGAUCAGGUUAACAAAACUCCAGCUGCCUCUUUGUUUUCUCUUUCUGCUGGAUCCUCCUGGGCUCAACAGGCCCACUAAACCUCUCUCCACAGCAGUAUCGCAAGGUCCCGCCAGCUCAAAUGCCCUAUAAACGUUGACCCAGCACCCCUCUGGCAUCACUUCUUGAAGCACCUCUCCAGUGCAGUGUAUGAAGAACAAGAAAAGCCCAAGCUGGGGGUUGGAGGGGUUAUAAACAGGACUUUCCUACAGUAGACUGGGACUCAAUUCCCAUGUGUGACCAAAUUUGAAGGUUGAUGUGUUUUUUUAAGAUAUGUUACAUAAGUUAACAUUAGUUAUAUAAGUGACAUGACCAAAUGUUGAUAUUUUAACCCCAAGUAUGAUUUUUUCCAAAACUUUACCAAGUACUCUUCACACCUAAACCAAGCUAAUUUUAUUUUGAAAGUCUUACUCGAUGUUACAUGUUAUGUAUUAUCACCAUGGAGCCCCUCACUUCCAAAACUGUCACUAGAGCGAUUAGUGGAGCAUCAUGAUUCGACGCUGAAGGCCACUGACCAAGCUGCCAUACUUACCAAGGGAGUGAGAACGUGUUGAACAUGGCAGCCAUUAUUAUUUCUUCAAGGUUUGAUGCAGGCUGGACUAAACACAGUUGUUGUUUCCAUAAAUAUUCCAUAAAGAGUGCCAAGCUGCAGUGAAAUCUAAUCUGUGCCCAAAGUGAUUGUCACUUUACCCAUCAAAGAAUUGGACCCAAAUUUGUCCAGGCCCCCGAGGAUACCCCGAUAUUACAAAACCAACCAAACUGUUUAGUCUUGCAGGUCCACAGUGUCACAAUGUCUGGUUACACUUUCAAAAUAAAGGCACCAAAACUA